GAGAAAUACUUUCCCGAGCAAUGCCAGAAGUCCGCAAGAGGGUAAGAAGGCCAUAUGGUCCCCCUGAGGCUAAGAGAGGGCCCCUUAAGCUACUGGGGCGGUAGAGGACCUUGCAGUACCAGUCCAGGGCAAGAACUUUUACACAGAGUUCCUGAUCCUCCUCACAGUGGUAUAGAUCUGGAGUUCUCUAUUAAUGUCAAUGGAUUUAUACCGGUAUAAAAAACACUGGUAUAACUGAGAGGAAAAGGACUUGUAUACAGGGGCCCCACAAAAUCUAAUAGCCC
Mauremys reevesii (Reeves's turtle) is the source of this 284-nucleotide long non-coding RNA. RefSeq lists it as uncharacterized. The record is from RefSeq and is a predicted model, not a curated record. The transcript has 3 exons. Lineage: Eukaryota; Metazoa; Chordata; Testudines; Geoemydidae.